GCUGUGCGUCCCGUACACGUAUGUGCAAGGACACACACCUGCACAGACACAUGCCACAUGCAUACAUGUGUUCAAGCACAAGUCAUCUUUCCCUGCGUCAUUCUAAGAGGCAGGGAGUGCUGUGAUCCCUGGAAAGUGAGGCACAGAGUCGGGGAGCCCCAAGUUUAGGACCUGCCUCGACGCUGAACUUAUCUUGUGACCCCAGCAAGUCCCCUGACACCUCCAGGCCUCAGAAUCUUCAUCUAUAAAAUGGGGACCCACUGCCUAGGUUGUGGGGACCCAGUGAGCUCCUAUUGGUAAAGAACACUGAACCCGAACCUUAAAGCGCCACAUAGCGCUGCUUUGGGGGCGUUUCAGUGGUGUCCCGCUCUCCGAGCACUGGAGUGCUUUGCCAUGUCCUUCUCUGUCUCAGCGGACAGAUGGGGAAACCGAGGCAGGCAGGGUGAGAUGGCUCGCCCAGGUCACACAUCUAGGAAGUACCUGAGGACAGACUUGAACUCGGGUCUGUGGCCGGGUUAUCAUUUAUUCUCAGGAGUGCAUCCCCUCCGUCUCCCCUGCCCCCAUACGCCGGUCUUGCUUCUGGUCAGUCCUCUAGGAAACCUGCUGUGGAGAUGGGAGGGGAGAAGCGAGGAGGCCCGCCCUCCCUCCCCAGCAGCCUCCCUUCUGUUCUCUCCCUCCUGCCCUGCCCCUUCCACGCAUGCACCUCCUCGAGGCGGCCGAGGCUUCUCGGGGCCAGGCAGAGAUGGGGAGGGCCCCAGGGGGAUGGAGGCGGGGAGGGGGCCGGGCUCCCCCCAGCCUGGACGUCCCAUCUCUGCCCACCCAAACGACCCAUCUCGUUUCUUCCAGCCCUUCAUGUCCCCUCGGUACCCAGGAGGCCCCCGGCCGUCCCUCCGAAUGCCAAACCAGGUGAGCCCCCUCGCCUUCCUCGGCUCAGCCACGAGCCUCUCCCUCCUGCCCGGGCCGGGCCAGGCUGGGCAGGGCCCGAGGGGCAGGCAGGGUUGGGCGGGGGCUCUCGUCCGCUGGGGGCUCAUCUUAGCGCUCCCUCCCUCCCUCGCAGCCACCUGUGGGCGUCCCGGGCUCCCAGCCGCUGCUGCCCAACGCCAUGGAUCCAUCCACGCGGGCUCAGGGCCAUCCGAGCAUGGGGGGCCCAAUGCAGAGGAUGAAUCCGCCCAGGGGAAUGGCGGGCAUGGGGCCUCAGAAUUACGGCAGCGGGAUGCGGCCUCCCCCCAAUGCCCUCGCCGGGCCCGGCAUGCCAGGGAUGAACAUGGGUCCAGGAGGACGAGGGCCGUGGCCUAA
Molecule: long non-coding RNA, 1296 nt
Filed under: Monodelphis domestica (gray short-tailed opossum)
Lineage: Eukaryota; Metazoa; Chordata; Mammalia; Didelphimorphia; Didelphidae
Description: lncRNA (ENSMODG00000050043.1)
Source: RNAcentral